Long non-coding RNA from Panthera uncia (snow leopard), 791 nucleotides. RefSeq lists it as uncharacterized. The transcript has 3 exons. The record is from RefSeq and is a predicted model, not a curated record. NCBI's taxonomy places the organism in Eukaryota, Metazoa, Chordata, Mammalia, Carnivora, Felidae.
UAUGCAUAGGGCCUCAACUGGAAGGCUGAAGAUGGGAAUCCUCUGAAAAGUUUUCACUUUCAUGUUGGUGAUUGAUACUGGCUGGAGGCUGCAGGCUGGAGACCUCAGCUCAACUCCCUGUAGACCUCUGCAGGUGGUCUCUUAAUGUGGACUUGGUUGGGCUCCUCACAGCAUGAGGGUUAGGUUCUAAGGAUGAAAGAAAGGGGAUACAUCGAAUUUGAGGUCUAUAGAAUUUAAUCAAAGGAUGAAUAUAAGGAUAUUGUUUUACCACCUGCAAUCCUGGAACACUAUGAGAUUCCCAGUGGGGAGCCCAAUGCAGAGCUUGAACUCACAACCUUGAGGUCAAGAGUCGGAAGCUUAACUGACUGAGCCACCCAGGUGCCCCACCUCUUGUUUCUUUAUCCAUGAAAUAAGUAUAAACAAUAGAAAAACCUCAAAGUGGAAAAAAAAAAUUGUUUAUGUCUGUUCCCCUGUUUUAUUGCAAGCUCUUUCAGGUCAGGGACUGUGUCUGCCCAAUCUUUGUAGCCUCAGAACCUAACACAGUGCUUGGCACAAGAUAAAUGCUCAUUAAACAUUUGUUAAGUAUUGUUGACUCAAUGGGCAGUAUUUAUCAUCUUGUAUUGGUAGAGUGUGGUCCUACAAUGUGUGCUUCGGGGUACAAUAUAUUGCUAAUGCAGUGAUGUGCUCAUAUAGUAUGUGAACCUGGGCUGUUUAAGAUACCACUACAUAUCACAUGGUGAAGGCCACAGGCUACUACCUGCCUUGAGAAUUCAGGAAUCCAAAGAUAUGAA